GCAAACUUGGUCAUUUAGAGGAAGUAAAAGUCGUAACAAGGUUUCCGUAGGUGAACCUGCGGAAGGAUCAUUAAUGGAACAUUCAAGGUUUUGAAGCUGGCCUUUAGGGGCAUGUGCUCGCCUUGUUUCAAUCCACUUACACCUGUGCACACUUUGUAGUUCUUGGGAUAGGUUUCUAACCUUGAUCAGAUCUACGUCCUUUACACACACACUUUGUAUGUUAAGAAUGUACUAUAUGCGUAAUAACGCAACAAUAACAACUUUCAACAACGGAUCUCUUGGCUCUCGCAUCGAUGAAGAACGCAGC
RNAcentral lists this unclassified non-coding RNA (307 nucleotides) under uncultured fungus. Its description in RNAcentral is "partial contains small subunit ribosomal RNA, internal transcribed spacer 1, and 5.8S ribosomal RNA". The stretch from base 1 to 73 matches the Rfam family "Eukaryotic small subunit ribosomal RNA", at positions 1759 to 1831 of the family's 1831-position model. The record is from RNAcentral. Lineage: Eukaryota; Fungi.